UUGAACGCUGGCGGCAGGCCUAACACAUGCAAGUCGAACGGUAACAGGAAGCAGCUUGCUGCUUUGCUGACGAGUGGCGGACGGGUGAGUAAUGUCUGGGAAACUGCCUGAUGGAGGGGGAUAACUACUGGAAACGGUGGCUAAUACCGCAUAACGUCGCAAGACCAAAGAGGGGGACCUUCGGGCCUCUUGCCAUCAGAUGUGCCCAGAUGGGAUUAGCUUGUUGGUGAGGUAACGGCUCACCAAGGCGACGAUCCCUAGCUGGUCUGAGAGGAUGACCAGCCACACUGGAACUGAGACACGGUCCAGACUCCUACGGGAGGCAGCAGUGGGGAAUAUUGCACAAUGGGCGCAAGCCUGAUGCAGCCAUGCCGCGUGUAUGAAGAAGGCCUUCGGGUUGUAAAGUACUUUCAGCGGGGAGGAAGGUGUUGUGGUUAAUAACCGCAGCAAUUGACGUUACCCGCAGAAGAAGCACCGGCUAACUCCGUGCCAGCAGCCGCGGUAAUACGGAGGGUGCAAGCGUUAAUCGGAAUUACUGGGCGUAAAGCGCACGCAGGCGGUCUGUCAAGUCGGAUGUGAAAUCCCCGGGCUCAACCUGGGAACUGCAUUCGAAACUGGCAGGCUUGAGUCUUGUAGAGGGGGGUAGAAUUCCAGGUGUAGCGGUGAAAUGCGUAGAGAUCUGGAGGAAUACCGGUGGCGAAGGCGGCCCCCUGGACAAAGACUGACGCUCAGGUGCGAAAGCGUGGGGAGCAAACAGGAUUAGAUACCCUGGUAGUCCACGCCGUAAACGAUGUCUACUUGGAGGUUGUGCCCUUGAGGCGUGGCUUCCGGAGCUAACGCGUUAAGUAGACCGCCUGGGGAGUACGGCCGCAAGGUUAAAACUCAAAUGAAUUGACGGGGGCCCGCACAAGCGGUGGAGCAUGUGGUUUAAUUCGAUGCAACGCGAAGAACCUUACCUGGUCUUGACAUCCACAGAAGAAUCCAGAGAUGGAUUUGUGCCUUCGGGAACUGUGAGACAGGUGCUGCAUGGCUGUCGUCAGCUCGUGUUGUGAAAUGUUGGGUUAAGUCCCGCAACGAGCGCAACCCUUAUCCUUUGUUGCCAGCGGUUAGGCCGGGAACUCAAAGGAGACUGCCAGUGAUAAACUGGAGGAAGGUGGGGAUGACGUCAAGUCAUCAUGGCCCUUACGACCAGGGCUACACACGUGCUACAAUGGCGCAUACAAAGAGAAGCGACCUCGCGAGAGCAAGCGGACCUCAUAAAGUGCGUCGUAGUCCGGAUUGGAGUCUGCAACUCGACUCCAUGAAGUCGGAAUCGCUAGUAAUCGUGGAUCAGAAUGCCACGGUGAAUACGUUCCCGGGCCUUGUACACACCGCCCGUCACACCAUGGGAGUGGGUUGCAAAAGAAGUAGGUAGCUUAACCUUCGGGAGGGCGCUUACCACUUUGUGAUUCAUGACUGGGGUGAAGUCGUAACAAGGUAACCGUAGGGGAACCUGCGGUUGGA
RNAcentral lists this ribosomal RNA (1503 nucleotides) under Salmonella enterica. Its description in RNAcentral is "bacterial SSU rRNA". It matches the Rfam family "Bacterial small subunit ribosomal RNA". The record is from RNAcentral. Lineage: Bacteria; Pseudomonadati; Pseudomonadota; Gammaproteobacteria; Enterobacterales; Enterobacteriaceae. RNAcentral also lists the same sequence under 2 other names.